Molecule: ribosomal RNA, 239 nt
Filed under: uncultured bacterium
Lineage: Bacteria
Description: partial 16S ribosomal RNA
Rfam family: Bacterial small subunit ribosomal RNA
Source: RNAcentral
AGCGGCGGACGGGUGAGUAACGCGUGGGUAACCUGCCUCAUACAGGGGAUAACAGUUGGAAACGGCUGCUAAUACCGCAUAAGCGCACAGUACCGCAUGGUACCGUGUGAAAAACUCCGGUGGUAUGAGAUGGACCCGCGUCUGAUUAGGUAGUUGGUGGGGUAACGGCCUACCAAGCCGACGAUCAGUAGCCGACCUGAGAGGGUGACCGGCCACAUUGGGACUGAGACAUGGCCCAA